AACAAUACAAAGCGAAGCGAAGGAAGCGGCGAAAAGGAAGCGCGGAGAACACAAGUCACAAAAGGAAAACGGAGAAAAGGGAGACAAAGGCGAAGAGGGAGCGAAAAGGUAGGGGUCGAAAUAGAGGGCACAUUUUUAAGAGGUUUCAAAGAGCUGCAUUUAUUUGAGAUUAAAACUCACUUGAAGGGAGAUGAUCUUCAAAGUUAAGAUCAUAAACAAUAAAUUUUGUAAUUGUGGUUUCAUCAUAUCACCAUCCAAUUUAUGGUUUUAACGGUGGAUUAUACAUUUUUAUGAUCUGAUUUUAAGUAUUCACGUUGACAAGAUCUCUACAAACUGGAAUUAUAUUUUUUUUAAGUUUCUGUGUGUCCACAUAUUUUAUAGAUUUUUUGUUGUGGCUGUGAAUUUUUUAUUAAAAACUUUUUAUAAGAAAAUGUGAAAUUAUCAAAAGUCGAAUAACUCUUUUUACUAGAUUUACACAAGUUUCCUAAUAUCAACGUAAUGUUUUAUACAAUAAAGUUUUUCCUACAACUAUCAUUCAAAUUGUGAGGAUAUAGGAUAUAGUUUCAUUAAAUACAUUUUUCAAAGUUUCAAAUUUGAGUUUAUAUUAUUCAGACUUCUUUUUUCUUUUGGAGCUUAAGGAUUUUGAUCCACAAUGUACAUAUCUGUUACGAAAGCAUUCAAUUUUAUGGCACAACAUUUUUAGCAUGUGCAACAUUUUAUUUUGUAAUUAGUAAUGCGGUACAAUAUUUCAACUCCAGUUAAUACCCAUAAGUCUAACUGGUUUGAGGUUAACUAGCUAGUAUAAAUACUUGUGUGUGUAUUUCCUUGUGUACCCGCAAUUUUUGUUUAACCCGAAAUUAGAUUGUGUUAUUUUACUCCAAAAGUCAAACCUAAAAGUUUAUUAUUAAUAAAUACACUUACGAUAAGUUCUGUAAAUCAUCAAUUUGGCAUAAUCAUUUGCUGAAAAAUGCAAAUGCUUUGUCGCUCGCCAAGAUCACACGAUCGCCCAUGGCUAAUAAACCCAGAAAAAAAGAGUUUAGGAGGCGACAACCCGAGCUCAGGAAAUGCCCAGGUAAAAGUUAUAAAAAUAAUAGUUCAAUGAUCUCCAGUUGCAGCUGUAAGAAACCAGUGAGUGUACACAGCGGGUGCAAGAAUGAAGUUCCCUGAUGUUCAGAAAUCAGAGUUCUGGUAACGAUUAUUUAAUGGCUGAGGAAUGGCGAUCUUGCAUUGAUUGAUGGACUGAAAGACCUAACCAAUACAAACCCCCAACGAACCGGAGAAAGGAAUUUAGAAAUCCGUUGGCCUGCUGUUGUGACUGUUGCAGUUCGUGUCUCUGGUUGCGUGGCAAGCUGGCCC
Molecule: long non-coding RNA, 1356 nt
Organism: Drosophila rhopaloa
Lineage: Eukaryota; Metazoa; Arthropoda; Insecta; Diptera; Drosophilidae
Exons: 3
Source: RefSeq, a predicted model, not a curated record